Long non-coding RNA from Lynx canadensis (Canada lynx), 1231 nucleotides. RefSeq lists it as uncharacterized. NCBI's taxonomy places the organism in Eukaryota, Metazoa, Chordata, Mammalia, Carnivora, Felidae. The record is from RefSeq and is a predicted model, not a curated record. The transcript has 2 exons.
UUUUUUUUUAACACAGCAAGAUAUAAACAGAUUUGGGGGAAGACUUCUGUUUCUGAAAAUACAGUGGACCAGAUACUCUAGAGAGCCCUUUCAAUACACACCUGUUUAGAGUUUAUUUUUAAUCUCUAAAUAGAUGGCUGAGCUAGCAAGAAAUUCUCAGGCAGUUCCUGAGAGGCAGAAACAUCCAAAAACCACAAAUCUAGACCUUCAGGACCGAUAGGGCAUCCAGCUGAACCAAGGGCAUUUGUCACUCCCCUGGAGCCUAAUGAUUUCUGAGCUCUGACCACAAGGUGGGAGCUUUGAUCAAGACCUACAAAGAAAGGUACCCCCUACCCUCCAAGGGGUGAACUUGCCAAAAGCCCUGCCUCCAGGAAAGAGGACACCUGCCUGCCUGGGUGCUGGCUCAGGUUUGUGGGGCAGAUCUUAAGGAGAAUCCCAUCUAUAAACUAUUUGUCCAAGUAAGGUGGGAACGACUCACACUACCUAUGUGGCUUGGAGAAAAGCCAGCUGAGAAUUUAAAGCAAUUCCCAUUGACGGUGGCCAAAGACACCUGACAGAAAGAAGCCAGCACAAUUUAAGGAAGAACACCUCUUUCCCCCAGGCCUCCGUUCUCUCAGAUACAGAUCUAAGAAUCCGGGGUUCAUGAUCCAGUAUGUGAGGAAACAGCCGCCAUGAUGAGAAGCAGUAGAAACUAGAGUCGCACUUGGGGACUUGGAAUUCGCAGACACACGAUACGUUUUUCCAAAAAGAAGAGGAGGAGGAGGAGGAAGAAAUGCAAAUCACAGCAUUCCAAUCUGCAUUGGGAACUCCAGGUCAGCCCUUCAGUAUUGAGAAGAACCACCGUCACAAGUUUGCCAAGGUGGUGGGAACAGUUCAAACUGGACCAGGUGUGAAGUCUACCUUUUUUCUAAGAGACUUGAGUCUGGAUUCUGCCUCAGUCACAUCACUGCAUGACCUUAAACAAGUUUGUCCAUCCUUUUUUGCUUUCUUUCAAAUAUAUGCAAGAAUCAAUCAUCGAGUAAAACAAUGGUUGCCAGGUCCCCAGGGUACAGGGGACUGAGGAGUGACCACCGAUGGGUAUGGGUUUUUUUUCUAGGGCAAUGAAAUAUUCUCAAAUUAGAGAAUGGUGAUGAUUGCACAACCUGAAUAUACUAAAAGACGCUGAAUUGUACUCUUUAGAAGGAUGAAUUUUGUGGUAUGUGAAUUAUAUCUUAAUAAAGCUUUAAUUUUU